This 1347-nucleotide ribosomal RNA is filed under the name uncultured bacterium. RNAcentral's name for it is "bacterial SSU rRNA". It matches the Rfam family "Bacterial small subunit ribosomal RNA", at positions 28 to 1381 of the family's 1533-position model. The record is from RNAcentral.
GACGAACGCUGGCGGCGUGCUUAACACAUGCAUUUCGAACGGAAAGGCCCUGCUUUUGUGGGGUGCUCGAGUGGCGAACGGGUGAGUAACACGUGAGUAACCUGCCCUUGACUUUGGGAUAACUUCAGGAAACUGGGGCUAAUACCGGAUAGGAGCUCCUGCUGCAUGGUGGGGGUUGGAGAGUUUCGGCGGUUGGGGAUGGACUCGCGGCUUAUCAGCUUGUUGGUGGGGUAGUGGCUUACCAAGGCUUUGACGGGUAGCCGGCCUGAGAGGGUGACCGGCCACAUUGGGACUGAGAUACGGCCCAGACUCCUACGGGAGGCAGCAGUGGGGAAUAUUGCACGAUGGGCGGAAGCCUGAUGCAGCAACGCCGCGUGCGGGAUGACGGCCUUCGGGUUGUAAACCGCUUUCGCCUGUGACGAAGCGUGAGUGACGGUAAUGGGUAAAGAAGCACCGGCUAACUACGUGCCAGCAGCCGCGGUGAUACGUAGGGUGCGAGCGUUGUCCGGAUUUAUUGGGCGUAAAGGGCUCGUAGGUGGUUGAUCGCGUCGGAAGUGUAAUCUUGGGGCUUAACCCUGAGCGUGCUUUCGAUACGGGUUGACUUGAGGAAGGUAGGGGAGAAUGGAAUUCCUGGUGGAGCGGUGGAAUGCGCAGAUGUCAGGAGGAACACCAGUGGCGAAGGCGGUUCUCUGGGCCUUUCCUGACGCUGAGGAGCGAAAGCGUGGGGAGCGAACAGGCUUAGAUACCCUGGUAGUCCACGCUGUAAACGGUGGGUACUAGGUGUGGGGUCCAUUCCACGGGUUCCGUGCCGUAGCUAACGCUUUAAGUACCCCGCCUGGGGAGUACGGCCGCAAGGCUAAAACUCAAAGGAAUUGACGGGGCCCCGCACAAGCGGCGGAGCAUGCGGAUUAAUUCGAUGCAACGCGUAGAACCUUACCUGGGUUUGACAUGGAUCGGGAGUGCUCAGAGAUGGGUGUGCCUCUUUUGGGGUCGGUUCACAGGUGGUGCAUGCCUGUCGUCAGCUCGUGUCGUGAGAUGUUGGGUUAAGUCCCGCAACGAGCGCAACCCUUGUUCACUGUUGCCAGCACGUUAUGGUGGGGACUCAGUGGAGACCGCCGGGGUCAACUCGGAGGAAGGUGGGGAUGACGUCAAGUCCUCAUGCCCCUUAUGUCCAGGGCUUCACGCAUGCUACAAUGGCUGGUACAGAGAGUGGCGAGCCUGUGAGGGUGAGCGAAUCACGGAAAGCCGGUCUCAGUUCGGAUUGGGGUCUGCAACUCGACCUCAUGAAGUCGGAGUCGCUAGUAAUCGCAGAUCAGCAACGCUGCGGUCAAUAAAAGCGCCGGGGCU